CACGGGGGGGAGCAAGCGUUGUUCGGAUUCAUUGGGCGUAAAGGGCUCGUAGGUGGCUUUGUAAGUCGGAGGUGAAAUCCCACGGCUCAACCGUGGACACGCCUUCGAAACUGUGAAGCUUGAGGCUGGGAGAGGAGAUCGGAAUUCCUGGUGUAGCGGUGAAAUCGUAGAUAUCAGGAGGAACACCGGUGGCGAAGGCGGGAUCUCUGGGC
This 212-nucleotide ribosomal RNA is filed under the name uncultured bacterium. RNAcentral describes it as "partial 16S ribosomal RNA". It matches the Rfam family "Bacterial small subunit ribosomal RNA", at positions 524 to 734 of the family's 1533-position model. The record is from RNAcentral.